AGUGAACGCUGGCGGUAGGCCUAACACAUGCAAGUCGAACGGCAGCACAGUAAGAGCUUGCUCUUACGGGUGGCGAGUGGCGGACGGGUGAGGAAUACAUCGGAAUCUACUUUUUCGUGGGGGAUAACGUAGGGAAACUUACGCUAAUACCGCAUACGACCUACGGGUGAAAGCAGGGGAUCUUCGGACCUUGCGCGAUUGAAUGAGCCGAUGUCGGAUUAGCUAGUUGGCGGGGUAAAGGCCCACCAAGGCGACGAUCCGUAGCUGGUCUGAGAGGAUGAUCGGCCACACUGGACCUGAGACACGUCCAGACUCCUACGGGAGGCAGCAGUGGGGAAUAUUGGACAAUGGGCGCAAGCCUGAUCCAGCCAUACCGCGUGGGUGAAGAAGGCCUUCGGGUUGUAAAGCCCUUUUGUUGGGAAAGAAAAGCAGCAGGUUAAUACCCCGCUGUUCUGACGGUACCCAAAGAAUAAGCACCGGCUAACUUCGUG
RNAcentral lists this ribosomal RNA (491 nucleotides) under uncultured bacterium. Its description in RNAcentral is "partial 16S ribosomal RNA". It matches the Rfam family "Bacterial small subunit ribosomal RNA", at positions 29 to 507 of the family's 1533-position model. The record is from RNAcentral.